Molecule: ribosomal RNA, 455 nt
Filed under: uncultured bacterium
Lineage: Bacteria
Description: bacterial SSU rRNA
Rfam family: Bacterial small subunit ribosomal RNA
Source: RNAcentral
AUUGAACGCUGGCGGCAUGCUUUACACAUGCAAGUCGAACGGUAACAGGUUAAGCUGACGAGUGGCGAACGGGUGAGUAAUGCAUCGGAACGUGCCCAGUCGUGGGGGAUAACGCAGCGAAAGCUGUGCUAAUACCGCAUACGAUCUAUGGAUGAAAGCGGGGGACCGUAAGGCCUCGCGCGAUUGGAGCGGCCGAUGUCAGAUUAGCUAGUUGGUGGGGUAAAGGCCCACCAAGGCGACGAUCAGUAUCUGGUUUGAGAGGACGAUCAGACACACUGGAACUGAGACACGGUCCAGACUCCUACGGGAGGCAGCAGUGGGGAAUUUUCCGCAAUGGGCGAAAGCCUGACGGAGCAAUACCGCGUGAGGGAAGAAUGCCUAUGGGUUGUAAACCUCUUUUUCAGGGAGGAAUAAAAUGACGUGUACCUGAAGAAUAAGCAUCGGCUAACUCCGUG